Long non-coding RNA from Carassius carassius (crucian carp), 732 nucleotides. RefSeq lists it as uncharacterized. The record is from RefSeq and is a predicted model, not a curated record. Lineage: Eukaryota; Metazoa; Chordata; Actinopteri; Cypriniformes; Cyprinidae. The transcript is spliced from 2 exons.
AGAGGCAUGCAUCCAAUGUGUCCUCCAAACCCCCACAAUCCUUUGCACUCAUGAAAACUAAUUGGUGAAAGGUGAAUCCGCACUGAACUCAUUAUGUCAUGCAGGACAAGAAAUGACUUUGAAGGCGAAGGUUUCCUUUGUUUAGUUGUAAAUAAUGUGACCGAGACCACGGACGGUUGUCAUUACCUCUUUUUGUAUGAUUUUAUUAGAGAUUUUGAUAUGAAGUAUUUAAUUCAUGCUGUGACUGCAGUGUUCUCAGGAACUGAACACAUAUCACCAGCUCAGACUCGGUUCACUUCCUACUGAAGCGAUGAAAGACAACAUCCUGAAGAUACACUCAACACUUUAUUUGAUCAUUUUACAUAUAAAGGCGGCAGAAAAAUAAAGCAUGCAUGAGCGUAUUCUUCAAAUAAAAGGUUAAAUUAAGUGUCUGCAUAAGGCUAAUGUUGGUUAGAUGGUAUAGACCAAACCAAUACAAAACAUUUCGGCUCUGACAAUCGGAUCUGUAAAAAAAAAAGUACAGUACUGAAUAUUGAUGUUUGAAAGAGUGUUUCAGACCCAAAGCUGCAUCUCUUCAUCAGGUUAAAGACCGACCACACGCUGCUGAAGGAUGCGUCAGGCCUCGUGAUCAUGUAGUGAAAUACUUGGACUAGCUGCUUUAAAUACAAUCAAACAUUAUCAUUCAAACUAGCAUGCAAAUGUGUCUGUCUGGAAUAAAUGCACUAAAAACUA